This 488-nucleotide ribosomal RNA is filed under the name uncultured bacterium. Its description in RNAcentral is "partial 16S ribosomal RNA". It matches the Rfam family "Bacterial small subunit ribosomal RNA", at positions 28 to 507 of the family's 1533-position model. The record is from RNAcentral.
GACGAACGCUGGCGGCGUGCUUAACACAUGCAAGUCGAACGGAAAGGCCCUGCUUUUGUGGGGUGCUCGAGUGGCGAACGAGUGAGUAACACGUGAGUAACCUGCCCUUGACUUUGGGAUAACUUCAGGAAACUGGGGCUAAUACCGGAUAGGAGCUCCUGCUGCAUGGUGGGGGUUGGAAAGUUUCGGCGGUUGGGGAUGGACUCGCGGCUUAUCAGCUUGUUGGUGGGGUAGUGGCUUACCAAGGCUAUGACGGGUAGCCGGCCUGAGAGGGUGAUCGGCCACCCUGGAAGUGAGACACGGUCCAGAGGGCUACGGGAGGCAGCCGUAGGGAAUCUGCCGGCAUGAGCGGAGGCCUGACGGAGAAGCGCCGCGGGCUGGAUGAGGGUCUUCGCAUCGUGAAACUCUGUUAUUGGGUAAGAAACAAUGUGUAAGUGACUAUGCACGUCUUGACGGUACCUGAUCAGAAAGCCACGGCCAACUUACUG